AGGACCGUUCUCGGGUGUAAAAGUCCGUGAGCCCAGCGAUAGCUGCGAGCUGCUAACCAGUCAGGUAAACAGCCCCGGCCAUCUCAUGAGAGACGGCACUGAGCAAGAAACAGCCUGAUGAAAACGUUCAGCACUCGACUGGAGGCUUUAAACGAACGCAAACGUCAAUAAACGGAAUGCCUGAGACUUCCAAAACCUGCCGAAAAUGAUGUAGCAAGCUAACUUUAGCCGUCUGCCUAGCGCGAUCUGCUCAAACCAUGGACUGUGACGGAUUUGGAGUCCCUUGUCCUCUGUCUAGUUUGGACUCACAGGAAGAUGCCAAAGACCCAGGGCUGCACACCUUCAGUCACACACACAUGAGGAAAGCCUUUCGGCUCAUGAAUGACUUGAGAAGUCGGAGGAUGCUUUGUGACGUUCUGCUGGUGGCGGGUGAAGUGGAGGUACCAGCACACAGAGUAGUUUUAGCGUCCUGCAGUCCUUACUUCUGCGCCAUGUUCACAGGUGACAUGAGUGAAAGCAAGGCUCACCAUGUGGAGAUCAGGGAUGUUGAUGGACAGACACUCUUGAAGCUGGUGGAUUAUAUUUACACUGCCGAGAUCGAAGUGUCUGAGGAUAAUGUUCAGGUGUUGCUCCCAGCUGCCAGCCUGCUGCAGUUGAUGGAUGUUCGACAGGUUUGCUGUGACUUCCUGCAGACGCAGCUUCAUCCCACCAACUGCUUGGGCAUCCGAGCGUUCGCUGACCUUCACGCCUGCACAGGACUGCUCAGCCAGGCCCACGCUUACGCCGAGCAGCACUUCACAGACGUCAUGGUGGGUGAGGAGUUCAUGGCCCUUUCCUUGCAGCAGGUGUGCAGUCUGAUCUCCAGUGACAAACUGACGGUGUCCACUGAAGAGAAGGUAUUUGAAGCCAUGAUCACCUGGAUAAAGCACGAUAAAGAGGCCCGUCUUGAGCACAUGCCUAAACUCAUGGAACAUGUUCGACUGCCCCUGCUAUCCAGAGAUUACCUGGUUCAGAUUGUAGAGGAGGAGCCCUUAAUAAAAAACAACAACACUUGUAAGGACUUUCUCAUCGAGGCGAUGAAGUACCACCUUUUACCUGCAGACCAGCGGCACCUUAUAAAAACUGACAGAACCAGACCACGCACACCAGUCAGUUUGCCGAAGGUGAUGAUGGUUGUAGGGGGUCAGGCGCCUAAAGCCAUCCGCAGCGUGGAGUGCUAUGACUUUCAAGAGGACCGCUGGUACCAGGUGGCCGACUUACCCUCCAGACGCUGUCGAGCAGGUGUGGUGUAUAUGGCCGGUAAGGUGUAUGCGGUGGGGGGAUUUAACGGCUCCCUGCGUGUGCGGACGGUGGACGUAUAUGAUGGGCUGAAGGAGCAGUGGAGCUCUGUUCCCAGCAUGCAAGAGCGCCGCAGCACUUUAGGAGCAGCUGUACUGGGGGACCUGCUGUACGCUGUCGGGGGCUUUGACGGGAGUACAGGUCUGUCGUCAGUGGAGGCGUACAGCCCCAAGGCUAAUGAGUGGAUGUUUGUGGCUCCCAUGAACACCAGGCGCAGCAGUGUUGGGGUGGGAGUGGUCGACGGAAAGCUUUAUGCUGUUGGAGGAUAUGACGGAGCGUCCCGACAGUGUUUGAGUACUGUAGAGGAGUAUAACCCGGUCAGUAAUAAGUGGUGCUAUGUGGCAGACAUGAGCACUAGACGCAGUGGAGCUGGUGUCGGAGUGCUCAGUGGACAGCUGUAUGCUGCAGGUGGACAUGACGGUCCUCUGGUGAGGAAGAGUGUCGAGGUCUAUGAUCCUGCCACUAAUACCUGGAGACAGGUGUGUGACAUGAACAUGUGCCGAAGGAAUGCAGGAGUGUGUGCCAUAAACAGUUUACUGUAUGUGAUCGGAGGAGACGACGGCUCGUGUAACCUGUCCUCUGUGGAGUACUACGACGCUGCUGCCGAUAAAUGGAGUCUCAUUCCCACCAACAUGAGCAACGGACGCAGCUACGCAGGGGUGUCAGUUAUUGACAAGCCAUUAUGACUAAAAGUCUCUUCGCACCUGUCGAGGGCUGAGCUGUGACAGACAGACGGUGAUUUAAGACAGGUGCUCGAAGCUCUCCAUCUCAAAGCCUGGCUGCCUCACACACACACACACACACACACACACACACACACACCAAGCCCUGACCUCUCCCAGUCUCCAGAAAGUGCCAUUUAGCCCUGUUAUUAACAGAGAGGCCAUGAGGUCGCCCAGUAUAGUGUGUAUUAAAUGAGACCUCGUUUAUAGUCUGCCAGGACCGAGUGCGUAUGGGACGCCUACAUGAGCUGGUGCAGGUGAAGAUUGUGCCAACAGAGGCCUCUCUGCCUGCUUCACUACUGACUGACAACGCUCCGAACAAACACUCGCAUCGCAGGAACAGUCCAUAUGAUGCCAAAACUGUUUCUACGGGUUAACACUAAUGCAUAUCACACCCUUUAAAGCGGAUCAGGACUGGAUAUCACUGACUUCUGUUGGUUUGGUUACAGGGUUACUUUAUGUUUAUAUGAAAAGUAUUAUGGGCACAAGCCCAUAAGUUGUUUUAACCAGCUGCUUUCGUGCCAUAUAGUAUUGAGGAUGUUAAACUGCUAAACCGAUCAUAUAAAUCUCACAGGGUAAAGGUAUGGUCACAUUUCAGCUUGAAAUUUCAACUUGAAUCCAUUGUGAAGAGCACAUUGAUUCCUAUUGAAAUGACUGGAAUUCGCCUGUGAAAAUUCAGUAAAUGUGACCAUACCAGUUAAUGUGCCAAAUGUAACUCACAAUUCAUAUGGAUAAUGCUGUAUGUUAGUUACUUGUACAUAAGCACUUUUCAUGAUGCAGUUUGGUGUGCAAUCGUCCAUGUUGGACACACAGCGUCUUUCUUUGAUCAUGACAACUCUCUCUGAAAUAGCACUGGCUUGGUGUCUUUUUGGUAAAAUUGCACUGUUCAUCUUAUUCAGUAGAGCUGGUACUAUUUCAAUCGCAGGUAAAUACCAAGAUAGCACAGGUUCAUGUCAAGUAUACCAUUUAUCCUGUUCUAUUCUGACUGGGUAAUUUGCAUCAGUGGUUCAACAGAACUAGACUUUGGAAGACUCUUUUAUUUUAAAUAUUUAAAAAUAUUAAGCCUUCUUAAGGUUCUUUUUCUCAUUAUUGGGUUAUAGGAUCUGUAAAGCUUCACUGUAGACCAUUCCUGUUUACAAUACUGAUCAUUGUGAAAUGAAAACUAAUUUCGUUGGUAACAAAUAUGAAUUAACAAAUUCACAUAUCACAUUCUCAUUCUCACAAUGCCCUACUUUCUUUUUAAUUUGGAUAUAUACUGAUCUAAAAGUCAUACUAUGCAGUAAAACAUUGUUUUUGUUGUUCCCAGUUACUCAGUUUAUUUUGUGCUAUGCCUGGUGUAACUGCUGCCAUUACACAUCAUGAUCCACAGCUCUAAAACUAUGACAUUCCAGUGCGGUGCAUCAUCUAUGGAGUAUGCACGAAUGUGGUUUGUGAGCAAGGUAUUUAUGUAUUUCUAAACAAAAUGUAUUAAUAAAUUAAGCUGAUAAGAGAAUUGGAUU
Sinocyclocheilus rhinocerous is the source of this 3559-nucleotide RNA transcript. It is a transcript of the gene named kelch-like family member 3, with no coding region annotated. The record is from RefSeq and is a predicted model, not a curated record. The transcript is spliced from 16 exons. Lineage: Eukaryota; Metazoa; Chordata; Actinopteri; Cypriniformes; Cyprinidae.